RNAcentral lists this unclassified non-coding RNA (200 nucleotides) under Mycoarthris sp. RNAcentral describes it as "partial internal transcribed spacer 2". The record is from RNAcentral. Lineage: Eukaryota; Fungi; Ascomycota; Leotiomycetes; Helotiales.
UUAAGUCAGCGGGUAUCCCUACCUGAUCUGAGGUCAACCAUAGAAAGUUGGGGGUUGCUGGCAAGCAUCCACCGGGACUCUAUAGCGAGAGAAAUUACUACGCUUAGAGCCAGAUGGCGCCGCCACUGAUUUUAAGGGCUGCCAGUCGGCAGGCCCCAACACCAAGCUGAGCUUGAGGGGUUAUAAUGACGCUCGAACAG